GAUGAACGCUGGCGGCGUGCCUAAUACAUGCAAGUCGAGCGAACAGAUGAGGAGCUUGCUCCUCUGACGUUAGCGGCGGACGGGUGAGUAACACGUGGAUAACCUACCUAUAAGACUGGGAUAACUUCGGGAAACCGGAGCUAAUACCGGAUAAUAUAUUGAACCGCAUGGUUCAAUAGUGAAAGACGGUUUUGCUGUCACUUAUAGAUGGAUCCGCGCCGCAUUAGCUAGUUGGUAAGGUAACGGCUUACCAAGGCAACGAUGCGUAGCCGACCUGAGAGGGUGAUCGGCCACACGGGAACAGAGACACGGUCCAGACUCCGACGGGAGGCAGCAGUAGGGAAUCUUACGCAAGGGGCGAAAGCCUGACGGAGCAACGCCGCGUGAGUGAUGAAGGUCUUCGGAUCGUAAAGCUCUGUUAUUAGGGAAGAACAAAUGUGUAAGUAACUAUGCACGUCUUGACGGUACCUAAUCAGAAAGCCACGGCUAACUACGUG
This 497-nucleotide ribosomal RNA is filed under the name uncultured bacterium. RNAcentral describes it as "partial 16S ribosomal RNA". It matches the Rfam family "Bacterial small subunit ribosomal RNA", at positions 28 to 507 of the family's 1533-position model. The record is from RNAcentral.